This 2173-nucleotide long non-coding RNA is filed under the name Pan troglodytes (chimpanzee). RNAcentral's name for it is "long non-coding RNA NONPTRT015877". Lineage: Eukaryota; Metazoa; Chordata; Mammalia; Primates; Hominidae. The record is from RNAcentral.
UGCGGGUCUGGGGCAAGGGCCUUUCCGAGGGACACACGUUCCAGGUGGCAGAGUUCAUCGUGGACACUCGCAAUGCAGGUACCUCCUGCCCCAGAGAGCCCCCAUUCCAGCGGGUGCCUCCCACAGGCACUUGUCCUCGUCCUGCCCAGCACCCCCUUGGCCGCACUCUCUCCUCCCUGAAACUUCCUGACCAGUCUGCGUCAGGAUUCGCAUUCUGGGGCCCCUUGCGGGAAAGUGAAUGGCCCCGCAUCAGUUCUCUCCCUUUUAAGAGAAAGCUCAGCUGUCCUGAGUUUCUGUCCCUCCCUUGCUCACUGGAAUCCAAGAGGCUUACCUUAGGGAAUUUUCCAGACCGCCUGUCCCGUGGUGCCCCCGCUCCUCCCACUGAGCCAUUUUUGUUAGUGGUCACUACACACAUCGGUGCCCAUUCUGGGUGGAGCCUGCAGUCUGGGGAGAGGAAAGCAUUGUGGCUUGGCCAGCCUAGGACUGAGGGAGAUGUGUUCCUUGCUUUCCCCCAGGUUAUGGGGGCUUGGGGCUGAGUAUUGAAGGCCCAAGCAAGGUGGACAUCAACUGUGAGGACAUGGAGGACGGGACAUGCAAAGUCACCUACUGCCCCACCGAGCCCGGCACCUACAUCAUCAACAUCAAGUUUGCUGACAAGCACGUGCCUGGAAGCCCCUUCACUGUGAAGGUGACCGGCGAGGGCCGCAUGAAGGAGAGCAUCACCCGGCGGAGACAGGCACCUUCCAUCGCCACCAUUGGCAGCACCUGUGACCUCAACCUCAAGAUCCCGGGUAGAAGCCUGGAGGACCCUGGGUGGGGCGGGUGGUGGGAGAGGGCUGGCCCGGGCCAGAGCCCACCUGUCGGGCCUCCACCCUGCUUCCUCACCCCUCGCUUCCCUCCCUCACCCUGGCUCCCUUGACCACACAGGAAACUGGUUCCAGAUGGUGUCUGCCCAGGAGCGCCUGACACGCACCUUCACACGCAGCAGCCACACCUACACCCGCACGGAGCGCACGGAGAUCAGCAAGACGCGGGGCGGGGAGACAAAGCGCGAGGUGCGGGUGGAGGAGUCCACCCAGGUCGGCGGGGACCCCUUCCCUGCUGUGUUUGGGGACUUCCUGGGCCGGGAGCGCCUGGGAUCCUUCGGCAGCAUCACCCGGCAGCAGGAGGGUGAGCACCGCGCACUGGGCCGGCCGGGUCCUCACGGCGGGAUGGGAGGGUGCUGCGGACCAGGCUUGAUGCUGGCAGACUGGCCCCGAAGGCCAGGGCGGGUCUGAGCAGAGGAGGAGGUUUAACUGAUGGGGGAGGGAAGGGCCAGGGCUAGGAGGAAUCCCAGUGUUGCCCUGACAUCCCCCAAACCCUGCAGGUGAGGCCAGCUCUCAGGACAUGACUGCACAGGUGACCAGCCCAUCGGGCAAGAUGGAAGCCGCAGAGAUCGUCGAGGGCGAGGACAGCGCCUACAGCGUGCGCUUUGUGCCCCAGGAGAUGGGGCCCCAUACGGUCGCUGUCAAGUACCGUGGCCAGCACGUGCCCGGCAGCCCCUUUCAGUUCACUGUGGGGCCGCUGGGUGAAGGUGGUGCCCACAAGGUGCGGGCCGGAGGCACAGGGCUGGAGCGAGGUGUGGCCGGCGUGCCAGGUAAGGGGCAGGUGGCCAGGAGUGGGGAUGAAGUCAGGGCAGCCAGUGUGAGGGGCGAUGAUGCUGAAGUCCCCUACCUUGCCUGUCCCCAGCCGAGUUCAGCAUCUGGACCCGGGAGGCUGGCGCUGGGGGCCUGUCCAUUGCUGUGGAGGGUCCUAGCAAAGCGGAGAUUGCAUUUGAGGAUCGCAAAGAUGGCUCCUGCGGCGUCUCCUAUGUCGUCCAGGAACCAGGUGGGCGUCCACACUGGCAGUGGGGCUGGGCCUGCCUGACCUUCCAGACUGGGUUUCUGCCCACUGGCCAGGCAGGAGAUGCUUGGGGCCACAGAACUCCCCUCCCCGGAGCCCCCUGCUCUUCCUCUGCCCCGUCUCCCUCUACCCCACACCCUCAGAAACAUGUGUCUGCCUCCAGAUCUGAGCACUGACCACAGAGCCUUUCCUGGGAUAAGGCCAGGGUGGGGAGGCUCCCGCCCUGCCAACCUCCAUCCCGGAACCUGUGCUGACUGGUCUCUCUCCCCAGGUGACUAUGAGGUCUCCAUCA